Molecule: ribosomal RNA, 394 nt
Filed under: uncultured bacterium
Lineage: Bacteria
Description: partial 16S ribosomal RNA
Rfam family: Bacterial small subunit ribosomal RNA
Source: RNAcentral
AUACGUAGGGGGCGAGCGUUAUCCGGAAUUAUUGGGCGUAAAGAGUACGUAGGCGGUUCUGUAAGCGUGAGGUGAAAGCCCGGGGCUUAACUCCGGUAAGCCUUUCGAACUGCAGGACUUGAGUGCUGGAGGGGAAAGUGGAAUUCCUAGUGUAGCGGUGAAAUGCGUAGAUAUUAGGAGGAACACCAGUGGCGAAGGCGACUUUCUGGACAGUAACUGACGCUGAGAUACGAAAGCGUGGGGAGCAAACAGGAUUAGAUACCCUGGUAGUCCACGCUGUAAACGAUGAGCACUAGGUGUCGGGCUAGCAAUAGUUCGGUGCCGCAGUUAACGCAAUAAGUGCUCCGCCUGGGGAGUACGCACGCAAGUGUGAAACUCAAAUGAAUUGACGGGG